This is a long non-coding RNA of Chelonia mydas (Green sea turtle), 242 nucleotides long. RefSeq lists it as uncharacterized. The transcript is spliced from 3 exons. The record is from RefSeq and is a predicted model, not a curated record. Lineage: Eukaryota; Metazoa; Chordata; Testudines; Cheloniidae.
GAAUGCUGAGCUACAAUUUUCUGGGUGUAAGAAGCAGAACAACAUGGACUUGAGACACACAAAAAAGCCCUGGCAUCAUACCAGGUCCAUCACCUUUCAAAGGGCUGAAGGAAAAAGAAUGACAGCCCUACUUGGACCACAUUUCCUUGAUAAACUGGAGCUAACGGAAGAAAGUACAGUGUUCCUGUCCUGUUGUCUUCUGUUGAGAGUGCUGGUAGAAUGACUGUUUGGUAGCCAGAGAU